Molecule: ribosomal RNA, 137 nt
Filed under: uncultured bacterium
Lineage: Bacteria
Description: partial 16S ribosomal RNA
Rfam family: Bacterial small subunit ribosomal RNA
Source: RNAcentral
CUACGGGAGGCAGCAGUGGGGAAUUUUGCGCAAUGGGGGAAACCCUGACGCAGCGACGCCGCGUGGAGGAUGACGGCCUUCGGGUUGUAAACUCCUGUCAGAAGGGACGAAAUCCCGCAAGGGACUGACGUACAUCA